This 253-nucleotide ribosomal RNA is filed under the name uncultured bacterium. RNAcentral describes it as "partial 16S ribosomal RNA". It matches the Rfam family "Bacterial small subunit ribosomal RNA", at positions 524 to 776 of the family's 1533-position model. The record is from RNAcentral.
UACGUAGGCAGCAAACGUUGUUCGGAAUUACUGGGCGUAAAGAGUGUGUAGGCGGUUCUGUAAGUUUGGUGUGAAAUCUCCCGGCUCAACUGGGAGGGUGCGCGGAAAACUGGAGGGCUUGAGUAUGGGAGAGGAAAGCGGAAUUCCUGGUGUAGCGGUGAAAUGCGUAGAUAUCAGGAGGAACACCUGCGGUGUAGACGGCUUUCUGGACCAUCACUGACGCUGAGACACGAAAGCGUGGGUAGCAAACAGG